AUUUAACUUGAGGAAGAUUAUUUAGGGUAGUUAGAACACUGAAACAAAUAUCUUAAUCAUACUUAUGUUUCUUUGUUUAAACUUACAAUCUGUGACCUAAAAUCCAAAUUGUAAACUAUUGAGAGAGGACAAUACCCCAAUAUAAGGCAGAGUUAGAGAAUGUUGGUCCCACUCCUGCUGAGGUAGAGCUCAUCCUCAGAGUCUAAUGGAAACUCAGCCUCUCAGCAGCAAGAUACAGGACUCAACAAUGGAAGAAUCCCAUGACUGACCAUUAAUCCCAAAGCUCUUCUC
RNAcentral lists this long non-coding RNA (291 nucleotides) under Canis lupus familiaris (dog). RNAcentral's name for it is "lncRNA (ENSCAFG00000052206.1, ENSCAFG00845008885.1)". Lineage: Eukaryota; Metazoa; Chordata; Mammalia; Carnivora; Canidae. The record is from RNAcentral.